Molecule: long non-coding RNA, 1098 nt
Organism: Oncorhynchus tshawytscha (Chinook salmon)
Lineage: Eukaryota; Metazoa; Chordata; Actinopteri; Salmoniformes; Salmonidae
Source: Ensembl
UAGCGACCCUGAUUCAGGCCCUAUCAACUUUUGUUGAAGUGACAGUACCCCAAUGAAACAGAGGCCAGAGGAUAGAUUAAGGAAAUUAGAAAUACUUUAUUAGGGGGUCUUAGGUUGUAUGUAUAUGGGCAUAUUUCUACCUGGCAAAGUCUCUUUGCUGUCCUUCUGGACAACUCUUGGUCAAGGUUACCCCUGUGGAGGAAGAACUCUUACCUUAUGUCUUAAAGUUUGCUGAAAUGAAGAAGGGGUGAGUGUAGUAGAGUUAAAAUGGUUAUUCCAUCAAACUUCAAAUGAUUAGAAUAGUACACAACGCAGAACAGAACAACCAGGUUGAGGGUCAAGGCCCGCAAACAGGAAUAUUCCAAGUUCAGACAGAAGGGGGAAGUCAGAUCGCUAUGAUCGCCAGGAACUUUACUUUUGGUGUCUAUUUUUAAUUAUUGCGCUACUGGUGCUGCCUGUUGAUGUUAGGUAGGCAGCUACAGUAGCUGAAUGAUGUUAAAAUUUUCGGGUUUUGUUUCAUUAAAUAUAUUUUAUUUAUGUAGACGGUUAGCUGAGCUGCCGACCGGUGCUGGCGUUGCAUUAUGGGAGAUGUAGUUUGGUCCUCUACGAUCUGAAUGGAAUAGAGGCGAUUUCACGUUGUAACUUGUUUAUGUUGCAGUGUUUUUGUACAUGAGUAGUUGUAUUUUGGUACUGUCAACUGUGAGGUUCUGUGUUACACACUAUAGCCCUUACCAUAUCAUAUGUGAUGGAAUAUUAUUUGCUGUUGGCUUAUAACAGGAGCCAGGUGUGAGAUAACUGUAUUGAGUGUGUGAGCGCAUAGAUAUUCUACACAACUACAACGACUGACCGCUGAAGCCCCUAGGAGGCUGAGACUAGCCUGUGCGCCAACAAUCAACGAUAGGCUGGGUGAGUUUAAACUACGCCCAGUCUCUACUCUGACAGGCCGGCUCAGAAGCAGGAACUACUUCUGUCAUCAGAGUAUAUUAUAAUAUCUUUGUCAGGAACAAGUCAGUUCUCUGUUCUACCCUGCGUGGUGUUACAGUGAACCCGUAUAUACAAAAAUUGCAUUUGCCAUUUAUUGCUUGAAUUUAAUUAAAG